Molecule: unclassified non-coding RNA, 913 nt
Filed under: Melitaea cinxia (Glanville fritillary)
Lineage: Eukaryota; Metazoa; Arthropoda; Insecta; Lepidoptera; Nymphalidae
Description: misc RNA ENSMCXG00005018266.1
Source: RNAcentral
GCCGGUGCUGUGACCGCUGCGCUAACGCGUUGACAUACUAUGAGUAAAGUUCGCUAUCAGGCGUACGUAAUAACAACCGGGACUGACAGCCUAGCGUGUUGUCCGAGGCUAGGUUGGGAGAACCACAAGGAUUAACAACUAGACCGAAAAUAAAUAUUUGUAUAAAUAUAAAUAUCCACUCCGAGCGGGAAUAGAACCCGCAACCGUCGGUGUUUAGGCGCCGCCGACACGGCACAUGCACCAUUAUAUCAAAGCGGUCGUCAAACAGCAAAAGGUAACUGCUGUAAAUUGUUGAGAAAUUCCCUCGAGUGUUUAUGGGCUCCAUCAUCAAACCUGGUCCUGCGACACCGAUGAUCACACAGCAGGUAAUUGCUAUAAAUCGUUGAAAAGUUCCCUCGACUAUCUUUCGUCUCCAUCAUCAGACCUUAAUGGCACUUGUAACUCAUAUAGGUGCAAAGUUCUCAUCAAUAUAAACGAAUUAAGUUCAAACAGCAGGUAAUUGCUAUAAACCGUUAAAGAGUUCCCUCGACUAACUUUUGUCUCCAUCAUCAGACUGUAAUGGUACUUAUAACUCAUACAGGUGCAAAGUUCUCAUCAAUAAAAACGAAUUAAGUUCAAAAAGCAGGUAAUUGCUAUAAAUUGUUGAAGAGUUCCCUCGACUAUCUUUCUUCUCCAUCAUCAGAUCGACUCCAGACCUUUAUUAAAUAGUAGUGCUUUAUAGUACUUAAUGAAAACAUGAUUAAAUUUACUAGUCGCCCUUACGAUUUUUGAAAGUUUCCCUCGAUUUCUCUGGGAUCCCAUCAUCAGAUCCUGGUUUCCUUAUCAUGGUACCAAACUAUGAAUGUCUCCUUUCCAACAAAAAAAGAAUUAUCAAAAUCGGUUCAUAAACGAAGAAGUUAUCUCCGAACAUACA